This is a non-coding RNA of Schistosoma haematobium, 44 nucleotides long. The record is from Rfam. Lineage: Eukaryota; Metazoa; Platyhelminthes; Trematoda; Strigeidida; Schistosomatidae.
AUCAGCUGACGAGUCCGAAAUAGGACGAAACGUGCAUCUCAGAU